Molecule: small nucleolar RNA, 174 nt
Filed under: Bombyx mori (domestic silkworm)
Lineage: Eukaryota; Metazoa; Arthropoda; Insecta; Lepidoptera; Bombycidae
Description: Bm_72
Source: RNAcentral
AUGCUUCUGCCUAAACGUGCCGCACUAUAGUACGAAUACAUGUAUUUGUAUUUGCACAAUGAGAGUGUUGGCGGACGGUGGAAGUAGAGAAAUAAAUCAAAAGUGUCUAAACGCUACAUAGGACCUCUAUCUUUAUGUCCAAGGACUGUAUGCUACGGCACUAAUGAUACAAUU